Molecule: ribosomal RNA, 372 nt
Filed under: uncultured prokaryote
Description: bacterial SSU rRNA
Rfam family: Bacterial small subunit ribosomal RNA
Source: RNAcentral
UACGUAGGGUGCGAGCGUUAAUCGGAAUUACUGGGCGUAAAGGGUGCGCAGGCGGUUGUACAAGACGGAUGUGAAAUCCCCGGGCUUAACCUGGGAAUGGCAUUCGUGACUGUACGGCUAGAGUGUGUCAGAGGGGGGUAGAAUUCCACGUGUAGCAGUGAAAUGCGUAGAUAUGUGGAGGAAUACCGAUGGCGAAGGCAGCCCCCUGGGAUAACACUGACGCUCAUGCACGAAAGCGUGGGGAGCAAACAGGAUUAGAUACCCUGGUAGUCCACGCCCUAAACGAUGUCAACUAGUUGUCGGGUCUUAAUUGACUUGGUAACGCAGCUAACGCGUGAAGUUGACCGCCUGGGGAGUACGGUCGCAAGAUUA